CAGUCUGGCCAGACACAUGGCAAUCUACCCCUCAGUUCAGGAGGUCUGUCUUAAAAAUAGUGGUGGCUCUUCAUGGCACAAGAGGACAAA
Molecule: non-coding RNA, 90 nt
Organism: Otolemur garnettii (small-eared galago)
Lineage: Eukaryota; Metazoa; Chordata; Mammalia; Primates; Galagidae
Source: Rfam